Molecule: non-coding RNA, 2691 nt
Organism: Rattus norvegicus (Norway rat)
Lineage: Eukaryota; Metazoa; Chordata; Mammalia; Rodentia; Muridae
Source: RefSeq, a predicted model, not a curated record
UGCUAGGGUGUCUACAAAGGGGUUACGUAGCUUAUCUGACUACUUAGGGUUCUUCAUAGGAAAAGAAGGAAAAGACAUUUAAUGUUCUGUAACUAUUUCUCGUCUUGGGAUAUUGAAUAUAUAUCUAUCUAGACAUACAGGUGCCAUAAAGGAGCUUUGCCUUUUCCCUAUCUUUAAAUAACUUUCCUAGUUAUGAACAGCCCAUGUUCAAGCUCCCACAUCCCUCUAAUUGUCAUUGCUAAGAUAGCUUUAUCUUGAGAGAAGGCUCCUUCUGGUCCCAGAGCACAGUAGAGAACGUUUUGUCCUUAGCUUGUUCUGGGGUACAGGAAGUAAGUGGGACCGCAAGGGCUGUAGGAUGAAGGUUCCCACCUCAACACAAAGCCUGUGGUGAACUGGCUACUCUGCUACUAUGGUAACUGGUGUAUGUAUUUUAGCUAUCUUAUGUGGGUCCCUUUAUCUCUACCUUCCUUCCUACCAGCAUCCACCCUAAACCCUUCCACAGAACUAGGUAAGAGAGAAGGAAGGUUGGAAGGGAAAGAGGCAUAGACCUCGAUAGGCUACUUCCUGUUGAAUAGGGACAAAGUUCCUUGGGGCAAGUCCCAUCAUCAUCAUGAUAACCAGUAAACCAGCUACGGCCAGUACUCUGGGACUCACCUGUUUACACCAAGGGUUCCCAGAAUUAAACUAUCUGCAUCUGGCACAAAUCACCCCCCUGCAAAAACAUGAGACACAUUAUAUAGUCAGCCGCUGUGGACAAGCUGAAGCAACCCCAUAUCCUACACCUGGGAUUAAAACAAAAACAUGUUUACACAACAUAACUUGGUUUGUAAAGAAACCCUCACUAUGGUUCUUUGCCUUCUCUUGGAGGCCAUAGCUACCCUGUCUGCCCAUCAGUUCAAUCAUUUUAAACCCAAGUGACCAUUCGUCUUUGUCUAUGUUAUUACUUUACUGCCUAGACUUCCGUUAAAUAUCUGUCCUGGUCCCUUGGAUUAGCCAGCACUGAAUAAUGGAAAUGGAAUCUGAACUAAUUUACAGAGAUCUAAUAUCAAGAAUAAGCCAAGCACGGUGACGCACACCUUUAAUCCAGCAGAGGAGGCAGAGGUAGAUGAAUCUCGGAAGAUUGAGAUGCGAGGAGAGUUGAAGGGAGGAUUUCCCAGAUAAAAGGAGAAGCCACACGUCUAACUCAACACUAGGUCAACAAGCAAAGAAAGAAACUGAGAUGGCUGGUCUGAGAGCUUAGCUAUCAGCACCCGCGAUGACCUGAACUGGCCUCCCAACAGCCACGUGGCAGCUCACAGCCGCCCGUAAUUCUAGGAUCAGGCAAUCUCCUGACCACAGGGAGCACCCACCACACACAUACUCUUACAGAGACAUACAUACGUGUACAUAAUAAUGACAGAAACUAACAAAUCUUUGAAAAAAAACCUAAGGAGGAAGGUGAGUGAAAGCAGUACUUGUAUGCUUCAACAGGAUUCAGCAGUGCAUCAUGGGUAUGGCGGGAGAGGGAGGAAGGUGAGCAUUCAGCACGCAUCCACACACUGCUGGGCCCACUAGAGACUGAGGGAUGCAGGUAAGAAGACAAGAGAAGCAAUGCUGUCUGCAAGGUCCUUGGGUCAGAAACAAGGAGAAUACCUGUCUAGUGAGACGUAUUGAUAAGUUCACCAAAAUAAAGGCAGUAGAGAGAAAGUCCCUGGGUAUUGAUAGCCCUCACGGUCAUCCUUCUGAGUACUAUUCAGUAAUUAGUGUGCUCUGGGAACCGUGCCAACAACUCUCCACAUAUUAAUUAUCACAAUAAAGGGAAAUGUGAGGUAUAAUUAUGACUAAUUCAUUAUUGAUAAAUACUGUAAAAGUUAAUUUUCCAGAAAUAGAAUCCUAGAUGAUUUCAAGGUUGGCAGAAAGGAAGAGAUAGGGAAUUGGAAGAACACCAAAUUUUAUUAUCUUCGAAGGAUGGCAAGUCAUUGCAAUUGUUAGAAAUUCACAAUCUGGGUUUUGUAAUGGACGGACACUGGGUGUGUCAACCACUUCAGCCAGGCCUCGUGUUCAGGAGCAGUUGACCAACAUACACUGUGUGUGUGGUGUGUGUGUGUGUGUGUGUGUGUGUGUGUGUGUGUGUGUGUGUGUGUGUGUGGUGUGUGUGUGUGUGUGUGUGUGUGUGUGUGUGUGUGUGUGUGCUUUUAUUUGGUUACAGUUCAGUAGGUUUUGUUUGUUUUCUCUUGGGUGCUGUUUGUUUUGUUUCCAUGGCCAGGGUGACUUCGUUGUAUUGGGUUUUAGUUUGUUUUUCUUUUCAGGAAGAGCUUAAAUGUGGGUGGAUAGGGGGAGAGGGAAGGAUCUGGAAGGACUUGGAGGAAGGGAAGACUAUGAUCAAAAAUAUUUAAAUUUAAAAUUUUUUUUAAAUAAUAAAAUAUAAUAAAAAGAAAAAAAACACAAAUUCAGUAUUAUGAACUUUUAGAUGGCUAUAAUAUGCUUUCAAAUCACUUGAUUAAUAAAACACAAGUAACUGUAAAGACACACUUGCUAUAUGCUGAUAAUCUAAGCACACAGUUCUAAAAUACAUACCUAUACCUUGUUAGAAAUAUAGACUUUUGAAAAUCCAUUGUAACAAAAACUAUAAACAACUCUACUUGUAUAAAUUUACAUGUCAAGGAAAUAAAAAAAUACAAAGAUUUAAGUGACAUCACUUAAGAGAUAACC